RNAcentral lists this ribosomal RNA (250 nucleotides) under uncultured prokaryote. Its description in RNAcentral is "partial 16S ribosomal RNA". It matches the Rfam family "Bacterial small subunit ribosomal RNA", at positions 524 to 773 of the family's 1533-position model. The record is from RNAcentral.
CACGUAAGUUGCGAGCGUUGUUCGGAAUUAUUGGGCGUAAAGGGCAUGUAGGCGGCUGAGCAAGCUUGGCGUGAAAUCCUCGGGCUUAACCCGAGAACUGCGCUGAGAACUGUUCGGCUUGAGUUACUGAAGGGCAUCCGGAAUUCCAGGUGUAGGGGUGAAAUCUGUAGAUAUCUGGAAGAACACCGAUGGCGAAGGCAGGGUGCCGGCAGAUAACUGACGCUGAGGUGCGAAGGUGCGGGGAGCGAAC